Heterocephalus glaber (naked mole-rat) is the source of this 901-nucleotide non-coding RNA. The record is from RefSeq and is a predicted model, not a curated record. Lineage: Eukaryota; Metazoa; Chordata; Mammalia; Rodentia; Bathyergidae.
CAAGGAUCAUACACAAGGAGGGCACUGGCCACCUGACUGCAGAGAGCCACUGCUGUGGAGUCACAAAGCGAAGCCUACCCUGUGGGAGAGCCAGGAACAUUUCUGACUUGUGGAAGGCCUGGGGCACCAUGGCAAAGGAGCAAGUGAGAUGGGCCAUCCUAAACGGCUGUCGCAUGCCAGGAUGAAGGGCCAUGCAUCCAUUCAUUUGGCUGGAUACUAAGGACAGAGCCAUGCAUCUGUUCAUCUCAUGGACACAAAGACAAGUUUCCUGGUGUCUUCCUGCAAGACAGAAUCAUGCAUCAGUUUAUUUGCCUGAGUACUAAGGUAACUCUUCCUUUGUCUUCCCACAGGACAGGGCCAUGCUUCUGUUCAUCUACUGGGACACUAAGGAAUCUGCAAGGAAUCUAUUCAUCAGCUUGGAUACUAAGACAGAGCCAUGCAUCUAGUCAUCUUCUUGGAUACUAAGGAAAGGCUGCUUCUGUCUUUGUGCAAGACAGGGCUAUGCAUCUGUUCAAGUGGUGGGAUAAUAAGAUAAGUCUGCUUUGGUUUUCUUUAUGACAGAGCCAUGUUUCUGUUCAUCUACCAAGACAUUAAAGUAAUUCUGCUUCUGUCUUCCUACAGGAGAGAUCCGUAUAUCUUUUCACCUGUUGGGAUACUAAGAUAAGUCUGUUUGCCUUCCUACACAAUGGGGACAUGCAUCUAUUCAUCUGCUCAGACACUAAGGUAGGGAUGCUGAUGUCUUCCUACAGGAUAGGGCCAUGUAUCUCUUCAUCUUACUGGAUACCAAGGUAAAUGUCCUUCUGUCUUCCUACAAGACAGAUCCAUGCUUCUCUUCACUUGCUGGGACACUAAGGUAAGUCUGUUUAUGUCUUUCUACAGAAUGGGGCCAUGCAUCUGUUCA